UAUUUAGAAUGGCGCUGAUCUG
Molecule: microRNA, 22 nt
Filed under: Mus musculus (house mouse)
Lineage: Eukaryota; Metazoa; Chordata; Mammalia; Rodentia; Muridae
Description: mmu-miR-465c-5p
Gene: mmu-miR-465c-5p
Source: miRBase by way of RNAcentral